Molecule: transfer RNA, 96 nt
Filed under: Cenarchaeum symbiosum A
Lineage: Archaea; Thermoproteati; Nitrososphaerota; Candidatus Cenarchaeales; Candidatus Cenarchaeaceae
Description: tRNA-Arg
Rfam family: tRNA
About the family: Transfer RNA (tRNA) molecules are approximately 80 nucleotides in length. Their secondary structure includes four short double-helical elements and three loops (D, anti-codon, and T loops).
Source: RNAcentral
GGGCUCGUGGCGCAGUGCCGCAUCUGCGGCGCGCAGCAUGGAUAGCGCGGUAGCCUCCUAAGUUACAGGUCGAGGGAUCGAAGCCCUCCGAGCCCG